CAAUAGCGUAUAUUAAAGUUGUUGUAGUUAAAAAGCUCGUAGUUGGAUUUCUGGUCGGAAGCUCCUGUCCUCUGAUGAGCGUACAAGUGCGUCCUACCAUCCUUCUGUUAACCUUUAAGGCUUUCGCGGCUUUCUAGGGGCUCAGAUAUUUUACCUUGAGAAAAUUAGAGUGUUUCAGGCAGGCUAGCGCCGGAAUACAUUAGCAUGGAAUAAUGGAAUAGGACUUUUGCCUCUUCUGUUGGUCAUGAGGCUCGAGUAAUGAUUAAUAGGGAUAGUUGGGGGCAUUAGUACUUAACUGUCGGAGGUGAAAUUCUCGGAUUUGUUAAAGACUAACUUAUGCGAAAGCAUUUGCCAAGGAUGUUUUCAUUAA
Molecule: ribosomal RNA, 370 nt
Filed under: uncultured eukaryote
Lineage: Eukaryota
Description: partial 18S ribosomal RNA
Rfam family: Eukaryotic small subunit ribosomal RNA
Source: RNAcentral